This 253-nucleotide ribosomal RNA is filed under the name uncultured bacterium. Its description in RNAcentral is "partial 16S ribosomal RNA". It matches the Rfam family "Bacterial small subunit ribosomal RNA", at positions 524 to 776 of the family's 1533-position model. The record is from RNAcentral.
GACGAACCGAGCGAACGUUGUUCGGAAUCACUGGGCUUAAAGGGCGCGUAGGCGGGCUAUCAAGUCCGGGGUGAAAUCCUCCAGCUCAACUGGAGAACGGCCUCGGAUACUGAUGGCCUCGAGGGGGAUAGGGGCACGCGGAACUGUGGGUGGAGCGGUGAAGUGCGUUGAUUUCCAUAGGAACACCGGUGGCGAAGGCGGCGUGCUGGAUCUCUUCUGACGCUGAGGCGCGAAAGCCAGGGGAGCAAACGGG